CGUUAACAUUACCACUUUCUUACUUACACCACAGCACUUCUGCUAACCUUUCGUCUUCAAUUUCCCUUUGGAUUUCAUUCAUUAGAUGGAUUCGAGUUGAGGACAUCAAGAAUUCGAUUAUUUGUUUAAGUUGUUGAUGAUUGGAGACUCUGGGGUUGGCAAGAGUAGUCUUCUUCUCAGUUUCACCUCCGAUGCUUUUGAAGAUCUCUCCCCCACUAUCGGUGUUGAUUUUAAGGUCAAAUAUGUGACGAUGGGGGGUAAAAAGCUGAAGCUUGCAAUUUGGGAUACUGGUAUUCACUUUGUUGUUAUUCCUUUCAUGAUAACUUUGCUUAUGGAUACUGCUGAAUGGUAGAUAUGGCUGGCAUUCAUGGAGGAUUUUUACAUUGUUAUGGGUGGCAGCCAAUACUAUAUGUGAUUGAUUAUGCUUAUGCUUUUUGAUAAUACAACUGGUCAAGAGAGAUUCAGAACACUGACAAGUUCUUACUACAGAGGGGCACAAGGAAUCAU
Long non-coding RNA from Glycine soja, 507 nucleotides. RefSeq lists it as uncharacterized. The transcript is spliced from 3 exons. The record is from RefSeq and is a predicted model, not a curated record. Lineage: Eukaryota; Viridiplantae; Streptophyta; Magnoliopsida; Fabales; Fabaceae.